UGGGGAAUAUUGCGCAAUGGGCGAAAGCCUGACGCAGCAACGCCGCGUGGGGGAUGAAGGCCUUCGGGUUGUAAACCUCUUUCAGCAGGGAAGAAGCGAAAGUGACGGUACCUGCAGAAGAAGCACCGGCUAACUACGUGCCAGCAGCCGCGGUAAUACGUAGGGUGCAAGCGUUGUCCGGAUUUAUUGGGCGUAAAGAGCUCGUAGGCGGUUAGUCACGUCGGAUGUGAAAACCCGGAGCUUAACUCCGGGCCUGCAUUCGAUACGGGCUGACUAGAGUGUUGUAGGGGAGACUGGAACUCCUGGUGUAGCGGUGAAAUGCGCAGAUAUCAGGAAGAACACCGGUGGCGAAGGCGGGUCUCUGGGCAACUACUGACGCUGAGGAGCGAAAGCGUGGGGAGCAAACAGG
Molecule: ribosomal RNA, 409 nt
Filed under: uncultured bacterium
Lineage: Bacteria
Description: bacterial SSU rRNA
Rfam family: Bacterial small subunit ribosomal RNA
Source: RNAcentral